GCCGGUAUAGCUCAGCAGGUAGAGCAGCUGAUUUGUAAUCAGAAGGUCCCGGGUUCGAUUCCUGGUGCCGGCACCA
RNAcentral lists this transfer RNA (76 nucleotides) under Burkholderiales bacterium. RNAcentral describes it as "tRNA-Thr". It matches the Rfam family "tRNA". Rfam says of the family: Transfer RNA (tRNA) molecules are approximately 80 nucleotides in length. Lineage: Bacteria; Pseudomonadati; Pseudomonadota; Betaproteobacteria; Burkholderiales. RNAcentral also lists the same sequence under 1 other name. The record is from RNAcentral.